Molecule: long non-coding RNA, 829 nt
Filed under: Sarcophilus harrisii (Tasmanian devil)
Lineage: Eukaryota; Metazoa; Chordata; Mammalia; Dasyuromorphia; Dasyuridae
Description: lncRNA (ENSSHAG00000029393.1)
Source: RNAcentral
AUUCCUGACAGUGUCCUUUAUGUGACAUCUACAAUCUAAUCAUCAUCCUUAUUUGUUCCCAAUAGAACAUUGGACUCUGCUCCUGCAUCCUCAAUCCUGGGGCCCUGGUGACCAAGAAUGAACAAGAUGUCCAAGUUUAAAAUUUAUUGGUUUUAAGACAGCUGGAAGUUUAUUAGUUUCAGAAGAUUGGAAGCAAGGAAAAGUUUCUUCUGUGGAAAAAAAAAAAUGACCUCUAGAAGAAGGAUAAAUAGACGUGUUCUGAAUGCAUACAUGUGUUGAAAUAUGGACAUGAAUAUUCAGAAAUUCCUCCAAACGUCUUCAUGUUCCAAUGGAUUUUGAAUGCAGAAAAAAUGAACCUGGACUUGAUUGGAAGAAAGGAAAACAAGGUGAAGAUAAGAGUUCAAGAAGACAUUAUCUUACUGUUCUAGUACUAGUCAUUUUCAUUCUUUUCUAGUUUAGGUUUGCUCUAUUCUCCCAUUUUAACAGUAGAAGACAUUAUUUUCAUUUUAUGUAUGAAGUUCUGCCAAAUGUAAAGAAGAACAUAUGUCCCUCUCUUUGCCCUUACCCCUGUUUCCAAGUGAGAAGUUAGUUUUAAAUCUCUGGGUAUUGUUCUCUUCAUAAUAAAAAGUCACAUUUUCAGUCCAUUCAACACGAUCUAUUGUAAAAUCACUCCUUCCUAAUAUCUGCUGUAUUUUCUAGAAAUGAAUGAGAAAAAGUUUGAGUUGCUUUUUUUUUUUCUUUCCCUUCACACCUACACACUCUUCUACCAUCUAGAAAGAAAAAUACUUUUAGUUUUUAAUUUCCACUCUUUCCAAAAAUGAGAGGCAGG